Long non-coding RNA from Acipenser ruthenus (sterlet), 2111 nucleotides. RefSeq lists it as uncharacterized. The record is from RefSeq and is a predicted model, not a curated record. NCBI's taxonomy places the organism in Eukaryota, Metazoa, Chordata, Actinopteri, Acipenseriformes, Acipenseridae. The transcript is spliced from 6 exons.
CCAGGGAACACAAUCGAUGCCGAUGUGGGCUCGCUAGACCACUGUGUGUUGGAAGGUCGUGUAUGUGAGCAUUUUGUUUCCAGCGCCAGUUGCAUGAUUUUCGCCCCAUAGAGGAUCGUCUUCAAAAAGGAGACGAGCGUUCCCACUCCAGCGCCGUGUUGGUGUUAUUACACUCACAGCUUUUGCUGUCUAAAAGGGAAAACCGUUUCCACGGUGCCGACUAGACAGCAGAAAGACGAAUUGAAUGUAGCAGGACUGGGGGAGAAAAGAAUCUCCUUUCAAGGUUGUGACAGCAGUUGUGAAGGAUUCAGAAGCCAGUUAUUCGAAUCUUAUCCCAAACUGAGUGAGGGUGGUGGAUUUGAACUAAUGAAGAUUUCAGGAUCUACGAGAAGCUGGAUCUUGGCUGUUAGUCCUUGCCCUAAUGAGGGGUACUCGGCAAAAUAUUUAAGGGACCCAGAAACCCAAAUUGUCUGCUGCAAUUCAUUUUGUAGGUUCCUGGACUGUCCUUAUCCACUGGGCCCCUGAUGAAGUGCCUCUUUUGUGAGAGACUUUUCUUUCUCAGAAAUAGUCACAGUGACAGCUGUAGCAGCAGUGAAGAAGACAAAAGCAUUAUACUGCAAUUGGCAUUAAGCUGGGAUCUUCCAGGGGUGACAGAAGAAAAUAGGCAUUGGCUAAUGGACAAACUCCUCCUUCACGCUGUAAGUAGGUUUGUUUCGUGCAUAUCCAUGUUCGGUUUACUCAUUGUACUGGUCAGUUGUGUAAUUAACCUACAGCAGGGGUGGCCAAACCCAGUCAUGGAGAGCCCCUAUCCAGCAAAUUUGUUCAAUAAAAGGAAAGCUCUUGUGAUUGAGGUCUGAAGAGGGAAUUUUUAGUUGAAACAAUCACUAAAUGACUUCAUUUAACAAAUACACCUGCUUAAUUCAGCACAUUGAAAUUCUUCCAUGUGUUUUAGACAUUGAUAAUGAAAGGUGACCUAUAAAAUCCACUGGAUUGGGCUCCCGAGUGGUGCAUUCGGAAAUGGCCUCCAGUAGGAGUGCAGGGUGCGCUUUACGACUCUGAGGUUGCUGGUUCGAUCCUGUCGUUCCUUUGCCGGCUGGGGAUGGGAGUCCACAGGGCUGUUUGACCACCCCUGACUUACAGUUAUUAUGCAUUUUAAUUGGGUACAUUCUUUAGUUUGCUUAUUACUCUAUGCUAUACUCUUCUUAUUUGUGGUAGGUUAUUGUAAGAACAACUCGACAGGUUAAACAGCUGAGGAAAGGACUGAAAGAGACAUUGGUCUGGCCUCUCCUGAAGGAAAGAAGUGAUAUUAUUCCACUGAUGUUUCCGAGGGCCUCUGACACACUAUACACCUCCCCGAUGAUCCUUGAAAGAAUCACCUGGCCCACACUGAAUGUGGAGGAAGAUGAUGAUGAGGAUGACUGUUCUCUUGAGACUAAAUGCCGUAUCACAGGCUUCUUCAGGACAUUCAUUGAAACGCAUCACCAAGAGUGCUGAUUGAUCUCCUCAGAUUCUGGGUUGGAUGGGGGGUCCUCCCGAAGGAGCUGUCUGUUGAGGUCACAGAUACCAAACUGCCCAAAGCAUCCACCUGCUUCGAAACCAUUAAACUACCCAGACACGACUUUCACUACUCAUCAUUUGAGGAGGAUCUUCUUUCCUGUAUAUAUACUGUGGACACCGGCUUUGGACUUGUCUAAUUUAGAAUUCUGCCAUGAGAAAUCUGUUUGAACUCCUUCAGGGGCCAAACUGUUAUUUGAUUUGACAACUAGAAAUGUAAACAUGACAAAGUAAAAAAAAAACAUCCAGGUUAAUGUUCUGCUAUAUAAAUACUAAAUGUACUAAGAAAGAAAUUCAAAUUAACGACUGGCAAUUUUAUUAGGCCAUUUUAUUAUUUUGAUUACAAUAAAUAAUGCACUGGGGGGGGGGGGGGGCAACAACAUUUUUUUUUUCUUCUAAAAUACUUGCUUAAGUUUGUGAAAACAUCUGUUAAAUAUCAACAUAAGCACAGGAACUAUUGUCAUUUAUUUAUUUAACAAAGUCAGUGCUAUGACAAAAAAUACAGCUGUCCCAAACAAUAAAAAAAUCAUCACAUUUGGAUGUCUGUUUCUUUAUAA